This 292-nucleotide ribosomal RNA is filed under the name uncultured microorganism. RNAcentral's name for it is "partial 16S ribosomal RNA". It matches the Rfam family "Bacterial small subunit ribosomal RNA", at positions 505 to 796 of the family's 1533-position model. The record is from RNAcentral.
GUGCCAGCAGCCGGCGGUAAUUGGGAGGGUGCAAGCGUUAUUGGGAUUUCUGGGGAUAAAGGGCACGCAGGCGGUUUGUUAAGUCAGAUGUGAAAUCCCCGGGCUCAACCUGGGAACUGCAUCUGAUACUGGCAAGCUUGAGUCUCGUAGAGGGGGGUAGAAUUNCAGGUGUAGCGGUGAAAUGCGUAGAGAUCUGGAGGAAUACCGGUGGCGAAGGCGGCCCCCUGGACGAAGACUGACGCUCAGGUGCGAAAGCGUGGGGAGCAAACAGGAUUAGAUACCCUGGUAGUCC